AACGCACCUUGCACCCUUUGGUAUUCCGAAGGGUACACCCGUUUGAGUGUCAUUGUAAUCUCACCAUUCAACUUUUGUUGACAUGUGUGGACUUGGAUGCUGCCGUAUUGCAAUGGCUCAUCUGAAAUGUCUGAGUACAUCCUGGAUUGUGAUGUGUUCGGUGUAAUAAAUUUUCACUGUACUUGACCUAUGGUCACACUCACUUGACUGUGGCUCUGUGCUUCCAACUGUCCUAUUCAGACAACUUUUGACAAUUUGACCUCAAAUCGGGUGGGACUACCCGCUGAACUUAA
Molecule: unclassified non-coding RNA, 293 nt
Filed under: uncultured fungus
Lineage: Eukaryota; Fungi
Description: sequence contains ITS2
Source: RNAcentral